This is a long non-coding RNA of Orcinus orca (killer whale), 2351 nucleotides long. RefSeq lists it as uncharacterized. NCBI's taxonomy places the organism in Eukaryota, Metazoa, Chordata, Mammalia, Artiodactyla, Delphinidae. The transcript is spliced from 2 exons. The record is from RefSeq and is a predicted model, not a curated record.
UAUUUUAUUCAUUUGGUCAUGCUCAGUAACAUGUGUCUAGAAUUUGGAUAUAAUUAAUUAAAAGUAUAGGACAAACCUUGCAGAAGUCUUCAAGAAUUCUGUUGAUUUUUUAAAAAUUAUUUUAUUGAGGUAUAUUUUGCAUACAACAUUAUUUUAGUUUCGUAUACAACAUAAUAAUAUAUAUUUAUAGUUAUUGAAGAAUGAUCACCACAGUAAAUGUACAUCUAUCACCAUACAUGAUUACAGAAUUUUUUUCCUUGUGAUGAGAACUUUUAAGGUCUACUCUCUUAGCAACUUUUAAAUAUGCAAUACAGUAUUAUUCACUAUAGUCACCAUGCUGCCCAUUACAUCUCCAUGACUUAUCAAUUUUUUGUUUUGUUUUGUUUCUGCGGUACGCGGGCCUCUCACUGCUGUGGCCUCUCCCGUUGCGGAGCACAGGCUCCGGACGCACAGGCUCAGUGGCCAUGGCUCACGGGCCCAGCCGCUCCGCGGCAUGUGGGAUCUUCCCGGACCGGGGAACGAACCCGUGUCCCCUGCAUCGGCAGGCGGACUCUCAACCACUGCGCCACCAGGGAAGCCCCGACUUAUCUAUUUUAUAACUGGAAGUUAGUACUUUUUGAUCCUCUUCACCCAUUUUACCUCCCAACCCCCCACUCCUCACCUCUGGCAAUCACCCAAUCUGUUUUCUGUAUCUGUAAGCUUGGGGUUUUUUUGUUUGUUUGUUUUUGAUCCCACAUAUAAGUGAGAUCCUGUGGUAUUGGACUUCUUCUGUUUGACUUAAUUCACUAAGCAUAAUGCCCUUAAAGUCCAUCCCUGUUGUCACAAAUGGCAAGAUUUCAUUCUUCUUUAUGGCUGAAUGAUAUUCCAUCGUAUAUGUGUGUGUGUGUGUAUAUAUAUAUAUAUAUAUAUACACCACAUCUUUAUCCAUUCAUCCAUUGAUGGACACUCAAGAUAUUUCCCUAUUUUGGCUGUUGUAAGUAAUACUGCAGUGAACAGGGGGCUGCAUGUAGCAUUUUGAGUUAGUGUUUUCAUUUUCUUUGGAUAAAUACUACCCAUAAGUGGAAUUGCUGGAUCAUAUGAUAGUUCUAUAUUUAACUUUGUAAGGACCCUCCAUACUGUUUUCUACAGUGGUUGUAUCCAUUUACAUUCCCACCAACAUGAGCUUUGCAUGAGGGUUCCCUUUUCUCCACAUCCUCACCAACAAUUAUUAUUUCUUGUCUUUUUUUUUUUUUUUUUUUUGGCCGUGCUGCGCAUCAUGGGAUCUUAGUUCUCUGACCAGGGAUCGAAGCCGUGCCCCCUGCGGUGGAAGCACGGAGCUCUAACCACUGGACCACCAGGGAAUUCCCUAUUUCUUGUCUUUUUGAUAAUAGCCAUUCUAACAGGACAAGAGCAAAGAUCAUCCCCUGCAGAAACUUUGGAACUAUGUACAGAACUUUACAGAACAGAGGACAACACUUUAGCUGAAGCCUGCCUGCUGACCAGAGAAGGGUGUUCUGAGUGGACUCAGCAAAGAAAAGGAAAUCAAGCAGGGAAAGCCCAUCUGAAUCAAACUUCAGCUGCCAUCAGGGCAAGUCUUGUGAUGGUCACAGAUUGGAGGCUCUGUUUAUGGAAGGUUCGAGUACAGCACAGGGGUUCCAUGUAUCUUUACGGCUACACCCCAGGCUGAGGUGCCAUUAAGUCAAUGUCACUCAAAUUCCUGGCCAGCCAAACUCCGGCAGCAAAGAGUCCCAAAUUAAGGAUCAAGUUCCUCUGGAAGAGGCUUCCCUGGUGGCACAGUGGUUAAGAAUCCGCCUGCCAAUGCACGGGACACAGGUUCAAACCCUGGUCCAGGAAGAUCCCACCUGCUGUGAAGCAACUAAGCCCGUGUGCCACAGCUACUGAGCCUGUGCUCUAGAGCCCGCGAGCCACAACUACUGAGCCCACGUGCCACAACUACUGAAGCCUGUGCACCUGGAGCCCGUGCUCCACAACAAGAGAAGUCACCGCAGUAAGAAACCAGCACUCACCACAACUAGAGAAAGCCCAUGUGCAGCAGCGAAAACCCAACACAGCCAAAAAUAAAAUAAACACAUUAAUUAAUUUAAAAAAAAAAAAGUUCCUCCAGAAGUCAUUUCUAUCGGUGGCAAAGCGGUAGACUCCCCGAAGCCAGUCUCCCACGUUGUCUGGAAUUUCAGGAGCUUCAUUUGCCGAGCCCACAGUGGUCAUGCCAGCCCCACUGGAUAGCAGCACCUUCGCGCUCCACAAGGCCUCUCACCACGCACCUUCCAAAAAAUCUAUUGAUGCCUUUGACUUUGUAGUUUUUCUUGUUGUGAACAUGGAGUAAAUUAAACAUCACAAUGGAAAAGGUGAAA